This 459-nucleotide ribosomal RNA is filed under the name uncultured bacterium. RNAcentral describes it as "partial 16S ribosomal RNA". It matches the Rfam family "Bacterial small subunit ribosomal RNA", at positions 338 to 795 of the family's 1533-position model. The record is from RNAcentral.
CCUACGGGUGGCAGCAGUGAGGAAUAUUGGUCAAUGGUCGGGAGACUGAACCAGCCAAGCCGCGUGAGGGAUGAAGGUACAGAGUAUCGUAAACCUCUUUUGUCAGGGAACAAAGGCGGGGACGUGUCCCCGGAUGAGUGUACCUUACGAAAAAGCAUCGGCUAACUCCGUGCCAGCAGCCGCGGUAAUACGGAGGAUGCGAGCGUUAUCCGGAUUUAUUGGGUUUAAAGGGUGCGCAGGCGGUCUGUUAAGUAAGCGGUCAAAGCCCGGGGCUCAACCCCGGCCCGCCGUUGAAACUGGCGGUCUAGAGUUGGGGAGAGGUAUGCGGAAUGCGCGGUGUAGCGGUGAAAUGCAUAGAUAUCGCGCAGAACUCCGAUUGCGAAGGCAGCAUGCCGGCUCAACACUGACGCUGAGGCACGAAAGCGUGGGUAGCGAACAGGAUUAGAUACCCUAGUAGUC